CGGUGAUGGAUGGGGAAUGCGUCUGAUUAGCUUGUUGGCGGGGUAACGGCCCACCAAGGCAACGAUCAGUAGGGGGUUCCUGAGAGGAAGGGUCCCCCCACAUUGGAACUGAGACACGGUCCAAAACUCCUACGGGAGGCAGCAGUGAGGAAUAUUGGUCAAUGGGCGAGAGCCUGAACCAGCCAAGUAGCGUGCAGGAAGACGGCCCUAUGGGUUGUAAACUGCUUUUAUAGGGGAAUAAAGUGAGCCACGUGUGGUUUUUUGCAUGUACCCUAUGAAUAAGGACCGGCUAAUUCCGUG
RNAcentral lists this ribosomal RNA (300 nucleotides) under uncultured bacterium. RNAcentral's name for it is "bacterial SSU rRNA". It matches the Rfam family "Bacterial small subunit ribosomal RNA", at positions 216 to 507 of the family's 1533-position model. The record is from RNAcentral.